AAUUAAGCAAGCGCGCGCCAAACACAGAAAACGCAACUCCCGCUCUCGUUUUCAAAAAACCUCUCCUUCUGUCUCAAUUUCAAUUCCAGAUACCACAAGAAAAUACCCCUCACUCAAAACUCAAAAAUGUCAACAGCGAAAACAAGCUCCAAAAAGCGAGUUGCCGAGUCGUUACUCACCAAACCGGCUUCCAAAUUCCGAGUCGAGGACGAGUUCGAUCCCGAUCUCUCAAGCGAUAUCAAGGGGAUUAUGUCGGCGCUACACCAGAUCAGAGAGAAAGCUCAAAAGGACGGUCUGAAGAAGAACGAGCAGACGAUUUCUAGUGUGGGCUCUGAGAUCAAGUCUAUGAUUGAUGAAUUGAAGUCUAAAAUUGAGAAGGACAGGCAAACUUUUGCGAAGGCACUCUCAAAGAGCUCAAAAGAGUGUGAAAAUUGGUUGAAGAGUGAGACUGCCAAGUUUCAAGAGAUAUAUGACAAGUUUUGCAAGGAGAAGGAAGCUCAUUUGCAGGCCCUGAAAGAUACUGUUUCCAAAUUCGAGGAAGACAAGGAAAGGCUGUGUAUGAGAUAUGAACAAAUGAGAAAGAAAGAGAAAAGCAUGAUAUCUGAACAUGAGAAAACCUGUGCUGAUAAAAUUGCUAAAUUGGAGGAAUCAUUGAAAAAGAAAAAGCAGGAUGGCAAGACUUUCAGCAUUUUGAGGAAAAGCCUCGGCUCAUUCCUGGAAGAUGCUUCAGAUGAGGACUUCCCUCCUGAUGAUUGAAGGUUGCAUAUCUGCAUUAGUUUUCAUCACUCCAAGCAUUUAACUGUGGAUACCCAAUUCCUUCCUUUCCAAAGUCAAUCUAGUUUACAACAUACUGCCCCUAGGAAACUCGAGGUGAUUAUCUCUUAAUAUCCUCUUACUAUAAUGGUAAGGAGGACAUGACUAGUUCAAUGUUGCAUACGCACCUGUUGGUGGUUGUAGCUACCCUUGUCAGGCUACGUAUUACCUCUUACUUUUCACGUUCUGGCCAACGAUAACGGCUGAAAUUUCUGUGGUAAGAGAGUUGUUUGGUGAGACUUUGGAAAAUAUCAAUUAAUGACUACAGUAAUGAAUCAAGUAGUUUGGUGAGGCA
Populus trichocarpa (black cottonwood) is the source of this 1108-nucleotide RNA transcript. RefSeq lists it as uncharacterized. Lineage: Eukaryota; Viridiplantae; Streptophyta; Magnoliopsida; Malpighiales; Salicaceae. The transcript is spliced from 9 exons. The record is from RefSeq and is a predicted model, not a curated record.